This 680-nucleotide long non-coding RNA is filed under the name Vitis vinifera (wine grape). Its description in RNAcentral is "long non-coding RNA (VVIN_LNC004187)". Lineage: Eukaryota; Viridiplantae; Streptophyta; Magnoliopsida; Vitales; Vitaceae. The record is from RNAcentral.
AAUAAAAGGAAAAGUAGAUCCCUAGCUCAACCAUAACAAAAUCCAAUGAGAGCAUUUGAAGUGACUAAGCUAGGAAGAAAUGAAGAGAUCAAGGCACUAAUCGUGUUAUGGAGUCGAAGAGAGUUGAAGAAGCCAAAAUAGAAAGUGAUAAAUGAUAGACCAAUUUAGCAAGACAAUUCAUUUUUGGGUGAGACUAAGGAAUUUGAUAAGGAAUCGAAGAAGAAGGAAGAGGAAACUUUAGUGGAAAAAGAAAAGAUUAAACCUACUAACUCCUUACCUUUUCCUACAACAAUUAAGAAGUAGAGAAUGGGAACCAAGACUAAAAAAUGUUGAAGGUCUUGAUGCAAGUAAAAGUUAAUGCUCCUCUUUUAGAUAUGAUUAAGCAUGUUCUAGUUUAUGCUAAGUUCAUUAAGUACAAAAAUAAUUAAGAGAAACAUAAAGACUAGAAAGAGGGAAUUUCUUAUUGAUUAGGUAAUGCAAUCAUUGAGAAUAAAACUCUAGCAAAAUACAAGGAUCAUUGUUGUUCAACUAUCUCAAUUCAAAUAGGAGAUUCUUACGUGGAGAAAGCACUAUUAGACUUAGGAGUUAGUUUUAAUCUUCUAUUAUAUGCCAUAUAUAAGCAACUAGGGUUGGGAGAGCUUGAGGCUAUUGCAAUCAUGUUGUCCUUAGCUAAUUGCUUA